CUCCGCUCCUCGCGUCGCGGCCCCGCCCCCGCGGCCGCUGCGCGCCGGACGGGGCCCAAGCGGGGGUCGGAGCCUCAAGGCUGCGGCGGCGACGAGCUCCGAGCGGGACACUGAACGGCCCGUAUGCGCAAGAUAAGCACGGACUGAAUCAGGUACACGCACCUGCCGGGGACGCACUGACCGAGGUGCGGACGGCGGUACCAGGACAGGUAAAGCCGCGAACACUCGGACCUAAGAACUUGACAGGUACACCCUGCCUGAUGAAGCUACGUACGGCCAGGUGCGCAUCGAGUGAAUCAGAGACGAAGUUUCGCCAUGUUGCCCAGGCUGAUCUCAAGCUCUUGGGCUCAAGCAAUCCACCUGCCUUGGCCUCCCGAAGUGCUGGGAUUACAGGGUGAGAACCUACUUCUUCAUAAAGAGAAUUUGGAGGGAGCUUUUUGUUCUGCGGGGACAACAUCUGGAUUUGAAUACAUCCAUGCUCAAAAGGAGAUUUCUCAUAAUGGACCCAACUGAAAGCACUCAGAGUACAAGGACCGGUGAGCUUUCAAAAGGAGACACUUCGGGAGACUCGCCAGGGGCCCUCGUAUCCCCGGCAGCGCGAGUUUUGGAGGUCAGUGGAGGGCUCUCGCAUCAUGCAUGUAACUUUCAUACUCAAAAACUUACCUUCAUCCUGCAUCCCUCACCCCCCUGCAGAAACUUGGGGCUUGAAUUCAUUUAAAAACAUUUGCGGUUUCAGAAGCCUUCUUUUUAUUAUGAAGCUGCCAAGGAGAUCUUAGAAUGAAAGGCAUUUUUAGAGAUGAGAAAGAAGGAAGCCAGGCCAAGGCUGGGCCGGCUCUCAGCCGUGGGUCUGUAAAGGUGACACGUGGGACAUGGCCACCUGCAGACCCUGCAGGCGGCUGGGCAGAGGCACCCACAGGGACCUGGGUUUGAAUCCCUGCUCUGCCAGUCAUUUCCACAGCGAUCUUGGGGGAAGUUGUGUAACCUCUGGGCCCUGCGACGCCCUUUCCUGGAGCCUGGAGCUGGAACGAAGCCCCUUGGAGCCCUGACAUCAGAGGUGACGUUAGUCUUCGCAGGCAAUGACUCGGCGGAAUGUGAUGCCACUCCCUAACCCGUGUCCGGACUGGCAGAGUGUGUGCCGCCUCCCACCAGGUGGUCUGGCUGCUUUGAUGGAUCUCCUAACUUCUCUGCACCCCAGAGCCCUCAGUGCUGGCCAGACCUUCACUCACUCCUGGGUGACAACCCCGUUCUCAGAUAGUGGGUCCCACAGGCUGGCCUGUGGCGCCCCCUGCUGGUGACUGCAGGGAGAAGGAUGCCCUAAGCCAAAGGAAGUCCUUCCUGGGGUCUAAUCUCUACCUUUUGCAUGAUGAGGCAGCUGAGGUGGCUCGCUUUCUCCUCCACCCCAGAAAAUAAAGUCAUAUGGAGUCCAA
Molecule: long non-coding RNA, 1427 nt
Filed under: Homo sapiens (human)
Lineage: Eukaryota; Metazoa; Chordata; Mammalia; Primates; Hominidae
Description: non-protein coding LINC01137:2
Source: RNAcentral